GCCGGAGGAUGCAAGCGUUAUCCGGAAUUAUUGGGCGUAAAGGGUGCGUAGGUGGUCAGACAAGUCCCAUGUCAAAGCAUGGUGCUUAACGCCAUAAAGGCGUGGGAAACUGUGUGACUAGAGUACAGCAGGGGCAGGAGGAAUUCCCGGUGUAGCGGUGAAAUGCGUAGAUAUCGGGAAGAACACCAGUGGCGCAAGCGUUCUGCUGGGCUGUAACUGACACUGAGGCACGAAAGCUAGGGGAGUGAAAGGG
Molecule: ribosomal RNA, 253 nt
Filed under: uncultured bacterium
Lineage: Bacteria
Description: partial 16S ribosomal RNA
Rfam family: Bacterial small subunit ribosomal RNA
Source: RNAcentral